AGUGAACGCUGGCGGUAGGCCUAACACAUGCAAGUCGAACGGCGGCACAGUAAGAUCUUGCUCUUCCGGGUGGCGAGUGGCGGACGGGUGAGGAAUACAUCGGAAUCUACUUUUUCGUGGGGGAUCACGUAGGGAAACUUACUCUAAUACCGCAUACGACCUACGGGUGAAAGCAGGGGAUCUUCGGACCUUGCGCGAUUGAAUGAGCCGCUGUCGGAUUAGCUAGUUGGCGGGGUAAAGGCCCACCAAGGCGACGAUCCGUAGCUGGUCUGAGAGGAUGAUCAGCCACACUGGAACUGGGACACGGUCCAGACUCCUACGGGAGGCAGCAGUGGGGAAUAUUGGGCAAUGGGCGCAAGCAUGAUCCAGCCAUACCGCGUGGGUGAAGAAGGCCUUCGGGUUGUAAAGCCCUUUUGUUGGGAAAGAAAAGCAGCAGGUUAAUACCCCGCUGUUCUGACGGUACCCAAAGAAUAAGCACCGGCUAACUUCGUG
This 492-nucleotide ribosomal RNA is filed under the name uncultured bacterium. RNAcentral's name for it is "partial 16S ribosomal RNA". It matches the Rfam family "Bacterial small subunit ribosomal RNA", at positions 29 to 507 of the family's 1533-position model. The record is from RNAcentral.